Paramacrobiotus metropolitanus is the source of this 592-nucleotide long non-coding RNA. RefSeq lists it as uncharacterized. The transcript has 6 exons. The record is from RefSeq and is a predicted model, not a curated record. Lineage: Eukaryota; Metazoa; Tardigrada; Eutardigrada; Parachela; Macrobiotidae.
GCUUUAUUACGCUAAACAGGAAGAUGCUCCGGAAUCCUUGAAAAAUUUCAGCAAAGUGAUCUCUAAAGCCGACGGCUUCGUCAUAGUUUCUCCUGAGUAUCAUGGUGCCAUCGCGCCAUCCUUGUCCAAAUUGAUGGACCAGUUUCCUCCCCUGUCCUACGCUUACCGUCCUGGAGCCAUCGUUACAUACUCAAAACGUUGAUUCGGUGGUGUUCGAGCCCAGACACAGCUGCGAACGUAUCUUUCGGGACUGGGCAUGAUACAUAUCCCUAGUGUUGUGUCUAUCGCUAAGGUUGAAGAAACUGUAACAAAGAACGGCACCACAACCAAUGCGCAGCUACUUUCCUCCCUGGAUGCGCUGGUAGAGGAAUUGGUUUGGUUUGCAAAAGCCGUCAAAUAUUACAAACAUAAGAAACAGCUUCUGUUCAAGGGAAAGAUUUGGAUAUAAUCCCACUAACUGUUUACUGGGAGCAACUUCAAGCAGUAUAAUAUGUACUGUAUAUCUGUAUCUUCUAUCUUUGGUAUUGUCCCUAAUUUACGAAAUGACGACAGAAACACACAUAAAAACGUGGGGUCGGUCUGCUAAUGCGCG